GAGGUGGGAGGAUAGCUUGAGCCCAGGAGGUUAAAGCUGCAGUGAGCUGUGAUCACACCACUGCACUCCAGCCUGAGUGACAGAGUGAGAACUAGUCUCA
This 100-nucleotide microRNA precursor is filed under the name Saimiri boliviensis boliviensis (Bolivian squirrel monkey). RNAcentral describes it as "miRNA (ENSSBOG00000008161.1)". Lineage: Eukaryota; Metazoa; Chordata; Mammalia; Primates; Cebidae. The record is from RNAcentral.